RNAcentral lists this ribosomal RNA (113 nucleotides) under uncultured Desulfobulbus sp. Its description in RNAcentral is "partial 16S ribosomal RNA". It matches the Rfam family "Bacterial small subunit ribosomal RNA", at positions 338 to 450 of the family's 1533-position model. The record is from RNAcentral. Lineage: Bacteria; Pseudomonadati; Thermodesulfobacteriota; Desulfobulbia; Desulfobulbales; Desulfobulbaceae.
CCUACGGGAGGCAGCAGUCAGGAAUAUUGCGCAAUGGAGGAAACUCUGACGCAGCGACGCCGCGUGGGUGAUGAAGGCCUUCGGGUCGUAAAACUCUGUUAUUAGGGAAGAAC